AACGAACGCUGGCGGCAUGCCUAACACAUGCAAGUCGAACGAGACCUUCGGGUCUAGUGGCGCACGGGUGCGUAACGCGUGGGAACCUGCCCUUAGGUUCGGAAUAACUCCCCGAAAGGGGUGCUAAUACCGGAUAAUGUCUUCGGACCAAAGAUUUAUCGCCUUUGGAUGGGCCCGCGUUGGAUUAGCUAGUUGGUAGGGUAAAAGCCUACCAAGGCGACGAUCCAUAGCUGGUCUGAGAGGAUGAUCAGCCACACUGGGACUGGGACACGGCCCGGACUCGGGCGGAAGGGGGGAUGGGGGGAUGUAGGAAAGGCGGGGGAGGGAUGAAGAGCCUAGGCCGGGGGAGGGAGGGGGGUAGGGGGGAAGAAAAGUUUUUUUACCCGGGAAGGUAAGGAGGGGACCGGAAGAAUAAGCCCCGGCUAACUCCGGG
RNAcentral lists this ribosomal RNA (433 nucleotides) under uncultured bacterium. Its description in RNAcentral is "partial 16S ribosomal RNA". It matches the Rfam family "Bacterial small subunit ribosomal RNA", at positions 29 to 507 of the family's 1533-position model. The record is from RNAcentral.